AUUGAACGCUGGCGGCAGGCCUAACACAUGCAAGUCGAGCGGAUGAAGGGAGCUUGCUCCUGGAUUCAGCGGCGGACGGGUGAGUAAUGCCUAGGAAUCUGCCUGGUAGUUUGGGAUAACGUCCGGAAACGGGCGCUAAUACCGCAUACGUCCUGAGGGAGAAAGUGGGGGAUCUUCGGACCUCACGCUAUCAGAUGAGCCUAGGUCGGAUUAGCUAGUUGGUGGGGUAAAGGCCUACCAAGGCGACGAUCCGUAACUGGUCUGAGAGGAUGAUCAGUCACACUGGAACUGAGACACGGUCCAGACUCCUACGGGAGGCAGCAGUGGGGAAUAUUGGACAAUGGGCGAAAGCCUGAUCCAGCCAUGCCGCGUGUGUGAAGAAGGUCUUCGGAUUGUAAAGCACUUUAAGUUGGGAGGAAGGGCAGUAAGUUAAUACCUUGCUGUUUUGACGUUACCAACAGAAUAAGCACCGGCUAACUUCGUG
Molecule: ribosomal RNA, 484 nt
Filed under: uncultured bacterium
Lineage: Bacteria
Description: partial 16S ribosomal RNA
Rfam family: Bacterial small subunit ribosomal RNA
Source: RNAcentral